UGGGGGAUAUUGCACAAUGGGCGAAAGCCUGAUGCAUCGACGCCGCGUGGGGGAUGAAGGCUUUCGGGUUGUAAACCUCUUUCGCUAUCGAACAAGGCCCGCUUAGGGUGGGUUGAGGGUAGGUGGAGAAGAAGCGCCGGCUAACUACGUGCCAGCAGCCGCGGUAAUACGUAGGGCGCGAGCGUUGUCCGGAAUUAUUGGGCGUAAAGGGCUUGUAGGCGGCUUGUUGCGCCUGCUGUGAAAACGCGGGGCUUAACUUCGCGCGUGAAGUGGGUACGGGCAGGCUUGAGUGUGGUAGGGGUGACUGGAAUUCCAGGUGUAGCGGUAGAAUGCGCAGAUAUCUGGAGGAACACCGAUGGCGAAGGCAGGGCACUGGGUCAUUACUGACGCUGAGGAGCGAAAGCAUGGGUAGCGAACAGG
RNAcentral lists this ribosomal RNA (420 nucleotides) under bacterium. RNAcentral describes it as "partial 16S ribosomal RNA". It matches the Rfam family "Bacterial small subunit ribosomal RNA", at positions 355 to 776 of the family's 1533-position model. The record is from RNAcentral.